Molecule: long non-coding RNA, 897 nt
Organism: Daucus carota subsp. sativus
Lineage: Eukaryota; Viridiplantae; Streptophyta; Magnoliopsida; Apiales; Apiaceae
Exons: 4
Source: RefSeq, a predicted model, not a curated record
GUGUCUAUCAAAGUGUCAUCCCGCAUAAAUAGGAAUCCAAGUAACAGUUACAUGUACUUUGUUCCCCUAAACUUACUCUUCAAAAUCAAAACCGAAGAUGGCUGAAGAUAAGCAUUGACGACAAGCACGAUUCUCGACGACAGCGGCACCCUCUUGAAAAGGAGCCACAACUCCGAUAUUUUUGAAAACCCUAGUGAUGAGUUCAGGAAACUGCUGCGCAAGGAACGCAAGGGACAGUUGAAGAUGCUAUCGACCAGCACUUUCAAAAAGAUAAAUACAUGAGGGACUUCCGUAAGAAUCUGGAUGAUAUGAAGAGUGCAUACGAAAGAUGUUUAAAUAACUUUGAGGUGGUAUUAGCCUUGUACCCGGGUAAUGCAGAGCUUGCUAAACUACGGGACGAAAAUCGCAAAUUUUUUCAGCUAUUUGAGGAAACAAAUCCACUGUCAAAGAUGAUGUUGGGAGGGACAAGGAAGGUGAGGGGCAAUGCAGUGGAGGAACAGGGGGACGAUUGCAGCUUCGCUCCAAGCUUCUCCUUGGGACUCUGCUUGGAUGGAGCACCAGCCUAAGAACGGAGAACGACAAUCAGAAUAGUUUGUUGAACAAGUUACGCGUGGUGUAUGGACAUAAAAUCCUAACUUGGGAGCAAAACAGUAAAAGGGGCUAUGUGAUGGGCGGGGCUACAUACUUGGACAAGGGCAAGAAGAUUGUAGAAUAGUUAUUUAUUUGGGAUUUUCUUUAUUGUUUUACGAGGGAUUUGCUUAAAGUUUUCUUCAUAGGUUCUCUGUACUUUAAAGAGAAACAAUUUGUGGCAAUUACAUUAGUCUUGUUGAUUUAUGUCGUUUUAAAUUGGAUAGACGUUUGAUAUGUUAGAUAAAAGCUAUAGCCUCCUUUGCAGUA